RNAcentral lists this non-coding RNA (145 nucleotides) under Dehalogenimonas alkenigignens. Its description in RNAcentral is "MoCo sequence". It matches the Rfam family "Molybdenum/Tungsten riboswitch aptamer (Moco RNA motif)". Lineage: Bacteria; Bacillati; Chloroflexota; Dehalococcoidia; Dehalococcoidales; Dehalococcoidaceae. The record is from Rfam by way of RNAcentral.
UUAAAUAUUGAUCUCCGAAGUCUUGGAGCCUAACUCCUCGGUGAUAUGGCGACAAGACCGGCGGUCCUUCACAGAAGGACCCGAGGGUGAUGCCGGAAACGGCGCCGCCUCCCGCGAUUUGGAAAGGAGAGCAUGCCAUGACGAG